Non-coding RNA from Oryza sativa Japonica Group (Japanese rice), 2526 nucleotides. The record is from RefSeq and is a predicted model, not a curated record. Lineage: Eukaryota; Viridiplantae; Streptophyta; Magnoliopsida; Poales; Poaceae.
CAGCCUCUCCUCCCCGUUCCCAUCCCUCCUCCCGCAGACCACGGCUCACCCAAAAAUUAUGCCACCUCUCCCCUGCCAACGCACCGCGCCGCCGUCGCCCGUCAUCCCUCCCACUCCACCUCAACCGCCCCCUCCGCCGCGCCGGCCAUCCCCUCUUUGCGCAUCCUCUCUACUCCGACGGCUCAGUGGAGCUCGAGCGCCGUUCGUCGCCCACUGCCUACCCCCACCCCAUGGUGCCACCCAGGAAGAUCGCCGUCACUCAUGGCGCCCCAAGAAGCUCGCCGGGCUCCCUGCUCCUUCCCCAUCGCAUGGGCCUCCUCGCCGGUGAUCUCCUCCCUUCUCACCCUCAAGUAACGUCGUCGAUCCCCCGCUGCUGCCACACCUUGUCACAUUCCAGUGCAUGCCCUCGCCCAUAUGGCCAGAUCGACUUGUUUGGAUCACUCAAGCUGGGUAGAGCAAUCAAAAGGACUGAGGUUGAAGCAAUUCCUGUGCUAGGAAAAGUCCGAAAAGCUGUUGAAAUUUAGACUGCUCGAGCCAAUGACAGGCAUGUUGUUCCCUAAUCCAUUUCUUUUCUAUAUGAGUUAUAUAGUAAUCUACAGAUGCAUGUGCAAACCAGCUGGAUUUGUACACGUACUGACCACAGGUGCAGAUGAAUUGUAAAAUUAAGAUAUUAAGCAAUAUAUAAACAACUAAAUAUGUAUCAGUAUAUAUAAGGUUUGAGUAUCUAAAAUGUUUACUGCACUGAACUUAAUGGAAAAUUUCAGAAAUCUGACUACAAACAUAUGGAAUUUGCUUCUUCCAUCCUUCAUGUGAUUGGUGGUCUGCCGACUGCUUCUGAUGACUGAGUUGCUCUAUUGGCUUUCGUGAUUACCGUCGUGGCCGCGCCCUUCGAUUUGUUGGUCUCACUCACCAUGGUGGAUAUGUUCGCAUACCGGCCACGCAGUGCGGUGUGGUAAGCUUAAAGCUGACAGCCGAGAGGUUGUCCAAGAAUGAUCCACAUAUAUGCUUCUUCCUCUGAACUGGACCAUUGGAAUGCCAGGAAUCUUAGUGGCGACAGUGAUCAAAGCCAACUUGACCCUAUCUGGAAUGAGGAUCUCAAGCUCUCUAUUCCUUAGCAGUACGGUCCUCGCAUGUUGGUAAUCAACUCACAGGAUCCAAAAUCAUUGAAAAUUUGUAAUGUGUUUCUGAUGAGUUCGUCCAAAACUCACUUUGUUUUCAUCCAGCAAGUGUUCAAUGGGUGGCAAUUUUCUCAGCUAGCAACAACAACAGUUGAUGACUGCCAAUGCCAAUGUUGGUGACUCAAUUCUUAAGUUAUUUCAAAAUAAUUUUAACAGUGCAGCAUGUUCUUUAUUGAUCCUGUACCAACCUCAUGAAAUCGACCGGUCUGAACAUAUGGAUGAUUUAGCCCACACAACAAAUCAAUGCGAUUUGGAAUUUAAUUAUUUGGUUAGUAUUCACUAUUCAGGUGUAUGCAUUAAGUCUCAUGUUAUAUGUAGGUUUAAUGAUAUCCAUUGCUUCUUGAUACAGUACUUGUCAUAUUCCAAAAACGUAAAAAGAUUGGUGUUAAAGUUAGAAUGUUGCUGCAGCUAGAUGAUAUUGCCUUCAGUUUUCUGAAAUUACUGCUAUACCCAUGAACUGGUUUAUUUAGAUCACUACACAAAUCGAUGCAAUUUGGUUAAUAUUUAGUAAAUACAUUAAGUGUCAUGUUAUAUAUAGGUCUAAUGAUAUCCAUUGUUUUGUGAUACUGUAUAGGCGUACUCCAAAAUGGUUUUUGUGUACUAUUGUCUUUAUUAUACUGAAGUUAAAAUGUUCUUGAAUAGGGCAUACGCGGAUUGGGGAUUUCUUUUCGUGCAGUAACAAUAUUUCUGUUGUACUUUUGUGCGCACAUAGGGGAGUGUGGAGUUGCUAUCGUGACAUUCUUCAAAUCCAAAGCUCAUUGGUGCUGGAGUUUGAGCGAUGGUUCUUUUGUUCUUUGAGAUGUAUGUUGCCUUUGCUGUUGCAAGCUAAAUUUUCUCUUCCAACCACAGUGAUAAAGAAAUAGCAAUUUAAUUAUUAUGUUGGUUUUGAUGCCAUCUAUGAACAUAUGUCUCUCUUCCUCCAACUCUCCAUGGAAUCAAACUCCUCACCUGCUAGCCAAGCUCAAAGCUGGUGCAUUGGUUUUCUCCCUGGUAGAAAAUACAUAAUUUUCUUAUUGCAUUUCAUUGUUUGUUGACCAUCGACUGACAUCUCCAUUGUUGCCGAGAACAUCUGUGGUUUGCAUGUGUACUCGCAAUUCCUCCUUGAAAAUGUCUUGAUCAGAAGUCUAGUGUGCAUACUUUUUUGUGGUAUACUGGUCUUAGGAAUUUGAUUAGCGUUUUGAUGCAUGAAAGUAAAAGUGAGAUGAAGGUUUAUACAUGAAUAUAUAAUUUAGUCAUCUUAAUUUGUUUUCAGGAUUGUUAAUAUGUAUGUAUUCUUUCAUUUUCUCUUGAGAAAAACUCACAAUAGUCUCGGUCACAUGUAUCAAGUAUAUAUAUGGUUUUUUUCUAA